CAUGAUUCUGAAUAACGGUUU
RNAcentral lists this microRNA (21 nucleotides) under Populus trichocarpa (black cottonwood). RNAcentral describes it as "ptc-miR6449". Lineage: Eukaryota; Viridiplantae; Streptophyta; Magnoliopsida; Malpighiales; Salicaceae. The record is from miRBase by way of RNAcentral.